This 28-nucleotide small RNA is filed under the name Bombyx mori (domestic silkworm). Its description in RNAcentral is "ovarian small RNA-33466". The record is from RNAcentral. Lineage: Eukaryota; Metazoa; Arthropoda; Insecta; Lepidoptera; Bombycidae.
UGCACGUCUGAAGCAGGCGAACGCGCGC